This 96-nucleotide ribosomal RNA is filed under the name Bacillus sp. ISL-40. RNAcentral's name for it is "partial 16S ribosomal RNA". It matches the Rfam family "Bacterial small subunit ribosomal RNA", at positions 1 to 94 of the family's 1533-position model. Lineage: Bacteria; Bacillati; Bacillota; Bacilli; Caryophanales; Bacillaceae. The record is from RNAcentral.
UUCUUGGAGAGUUUGAUCCUGGCUCAGGACGAACGCUGGCGGCGUGCCUAAUACAUGCAAGUCGAGCGAACCUGCAGGAGCUUGCUCCUGUUGGUU